UUUUAUGGCCAUACUGACUUGUCAAAGUCUGAUUCGUCAGAUCUCAGAAGCUAAGCAAGUCCGGGCCUGGUUAAUACUUGGUUGGGAGACCAUAGGGAAUAUCAGGUGCCACAGUAG
This 117-nucleotide ribosomal RNA is filed under the name Periophthalmus magnuspinnatus. The record is from RNAcentral. Lineage: Eukaryota; Metazoa; Chordata; Actinopteri; Gobiiformes; Gobiidae.